RNAcentral lists this ribosomal RNA (253 nucleotides) under uncultured bacterium. Its description in RNAcentral is "partial 16S ribosomal RNA". It matches the Rfam family "Bacterial small subunit ribosomal RNA", at positions 524 to 776 of the family's 1533-position model. The record is from RNAcentral.
GACGAACCGUGCGAACGUUGUUCGGAAUCACUGGGCUUAAAGGGCGCGUAGGCGGGCGACCAAGUCCUGGGUGAAAUCCUCCGGCUUAACCGGAGAAGUGCCUGAGAUACUGGUCGUCUGGAGGGAGGUAGGGGCAGCUGGAACUUCCGGUGGAGCGGUGAAAUGCGUUGAUAUCGGAAGGAACGCCGGUGGCGAAAGCGAGCUGCUGGACCUCUUCUGACGCUGAGGCGCGAAAGCCAGGUGAGCAAACGGG